GCCUGGGUGGCUUAGUCGGUCAGGCGUCUGAUUUCAGCUCAGGUCAUGAUCUUGCUGUUUGUGGGUUCAAGCCUCACAUCAGGCU
This 85-nucleotide transfer RNA is filed under the name Felis catus (domestic cat). It matches the Rfam family "tRNA". From Rfam's summary of the family: Transfer RNA (tRNA) molecules are approximately 80 nucleotides in length. Their secondary structure includes four short double-helical elements and three loops (D, anti-codon, and T loops). The record is from Rfam by way of RNAcentral. Lineage: Eukaryota; Metazoa; Chordata; Mammalia; Carnivora; Felidae.